GAUGAACGCUGGCGGCGUGCCUAAUACAUGCAAGUCGAGCGAACGGACGAGAAGCUUGCUUCUCUGAUGUUAGCGGCGGACGGGUGAGUAACACGUGGAUAACCUACCUAUAAGACGGGGAUAACUUCGGGAAACCGGAGCUAAUACCGGAUAAUAUUUUGAACCGCAUGGUUCAAAAGUGAAAGACGGUCUUGCUGUCACUUAUAGAUGGAUCCGCGCUGCAUUAGCUAGUUGGUAAGGUAACGGCUUACCAAGGCAACGAUGCAUAGCCGACCUGAGAGGGUGAUCGGCCACACUGGAACUGAGACACGGUCCAGACUCCUACGGGAGGCAGCAGUAGGGAAUCUUGCGCAAUGGGCGAAAGCCUGACGGAGCAACGCCGCGUGAGUGAUGAAGGUCUUCGGAUCGUAAAACUCUGUUAUUAGGGAAGAACAUAUGUGUAAGUAACUGUGCACAUCUUGACGGUACCUAAUCAGAAAGCCACGGCUAACUACGUG
RNAcentral lists this ribosomal RNA (497 nucleotides) under uncultured bacterium. RNAcentral describes it as "partial 16S ribosomal RNA". It matches the Rfam family "Bacterial small subunit ribosomal RNA", at positions 28 to 507 of the family's 1533-position model. The record is from RNAcentral.